AGUUAUCGUUUAUUUGAUAGUACCUUACUACAUGGAUAACCGUGGUAAUUCUAGAGCUAAUACAUGCUGAAAGCCCCAACCUCUGGGAGGGGUGUGUUUAUUAGAUAAAAAACCAACGCCCUCCGGGGCUCCUUGGUGAAUCAUGAUAAUCCCACGAAUCGCAUGGCCUUGCGCCGGCGAUGGUUCAUUCAAAUUUCUGCCCUAUCAACUUUCGAUGGUAGGAUAGUGGCCUACCAUGGUCGCAACGGGUAACGGGGAAUUAGGGUUCUAUUCCGGAGAGGGAGCCUGAGAAACGGCUACCACAUCCAAGGAAGGCAGCAGGCGCGCAAAUUACCCAAUCCCGACACGGGGAGGUAGUGACAAUAAAUACUGAUACAGGGCUCUUUCGGGUCUUGUAAUCGGAAUGGGUACAAUCUAAACCCCUUAACGAGGAACAAUUGGAGGGCAAGUCUGGUGGACCUGGGUGGAAGGUCCCCGCCUAUCCAAAGGCGGGCUGUUGACGCCAGCGAUAGCGGGGUCAUGGUCGACAUUGGCCGGCCCCGCUAGUCGAGCACCCGGAUCGGUGAUGGGUGGGUGCCGGCAAGACAACCUGGAUCGGGGGAGGCUGAGGCCAUCAGGAGGCCCGCCGAUCCCGAGCGGAGUCACCGGGGGGCGUUGCCGCCUGGGGCCCGUGUAGAGCGCGCAAAGGUGUCGGUCGGUCCAUGGCGGACCGGCUUGAGGGACGCGCCAUUCCCGUCCGAAAGGACGGACUCCGCCGUAGUCCCCAUCAGGCGAGGGCGGAGUGGGACCGCGACCCAAGGCGUCGAGGUCCCCGGACGGCAAGGCCAGCAGCCGCGGUAAUACCAGCUCCAAUAGCGUAUAUUAAAGUUGUUGCAGUUAAAAAGCUCGUAGUUGAACCUUGGGCCUGGCUGGCCGGUCCGCCUCACCGCGUGCACUGGACCGGCCGGGCCUUUCCUCCUGGGGAACCGCAUGCCCUUCACUGGGUGUGCCGGGGAUCUAGGACGUUUACCUUGAGAAAAUUAGAGUGUUCAAAGCAGGCCUAUGCUCGAAUACAUUAGCAUGGAAUAAUAGAAUAGGACGUGCGGUUCUAUUUUGUUGGUUUCUAGGACCGCCGUAAUGAUUAAUAGGGAUAGUCGGGGGCAUCCGUAUUCAAUUGUCAGAGGUGAAAUUCUUGGAUUUAUUGAAGACGAACUACUGCGAAAGCAUUUGCCAAGGAUGUUUUCAUUAAUCAGGGAACGAAAGUUAGGGGAUCGAAGACGAUCAGAUACCGUCGUAGUCUUAACCAUAAACUAUGCCGACUAGGGAUCGGGCGGUGUUAUUCUUUUGACCCGCUCGGCACCUUACNNNNNNNNNNNNNNNNNNNNNNNNNNNNNNNNNNNNNNNNNNNNGCUGAAACUUAAAGAAAUUGACGGAAGGGCACCACCAGGCGUAAACGGUCGCACCGAGCCGCGACAGCCUCUGCGCCAGAUAGCAGCCUGAAAGGGUCGGGUGAUGUCCGGUGCGCUAAGACCGCACCAAACGUUAAAUGCUAGUUCGUCCACCAAGGGUGAGCAACACACUCAAACUGCGGGGAACCCCUAAAGCUCCUGCUACCAAGCUGAUGUUCGGAAGGCGUCAGUGGCCGGGCUAAUGGCCCUGGGUAUGGUGAAAAGGCAUGGAGAUGUUCCAAUGGGCUAUCCGCAUCCAAAUCCCUCUGUUUGGCUAGACCGCAAGGUUGUGCCGGAGCAUGGGGUCGGUUCAGAGACUAUAUGGGUGUGGGUUGGGUCUGUUAUGUAUGGCAUACCUGUGUAUGUUGGGGGUGUUCUGUGGCCGGAUGGGACUGUGUAUGUUGAUCCACAUGUUCAGGUGAACAUGUAAUGCUAGUGCAGUAACAAAGCGUGUUUGACCUGUAACCCUUGUGCCCUCGACAUCGAAAGCUUGCACAGUGGGCCGCAGUACGGACCUCGUAUCCUCGCGCGACAAGACCAUUAGCCGCAUCACCUCGGUGAGCUCUGUUGCGCUGCUGCGCCUAGUAUAUGAGCGAUCGACCUUCACGUUCCUCCGCCGCGCACAGCCAAUGUGACAUGCAUAAGUUAGACCCUGCCUAAGAUAUAGUCCANNNNNNNNNNNNNNNNNNNNNNNNNNNNNNNNNNNNNNNNNNNNNNAGUGCUGUACGUUCCAUGCGGGGAAGUCCCUGAAUUUGGGCAUGGAUGACUCUUGAGAGGGUCAGUGCAGUGCAACGCCAGCUGGUACAGGGGACGCCAAGGGCUGUCGGUGACAAGCCCUGGCCAAUCCUGUGACGAGUCUGAGUUACGUCAGACCGUUGCAACGCGCGCCAAGCGGUGGGUCUCUCUCCUGUCGUUCGGCGAUGGCCGUUUGGAGGAGGCUUAAGGUACGUGCUAAUCCCACGAGUAAUCGUGCCCUAGCUACAAGGUCCAAAUGCCAAAGCGAUAGGGGUUCUCAUCACGAGCUGAUAGGGAAUGGGGUAUGCAUAGAUGGAUAACACCUUUCUGGUGCAGGAGGUACGAAGGUGCAAUGUCCCGUCUAGAGCAAGAAUUUUGCCAGACACAAGUAGGAUUGACAGAUUGAGAGCUCUUUCUUGAUUUUGUGGGUGGUGGUGCAUGGCCGUUCUUAGUUGGUGGAGUGAUUUGUCUGCUUAAUUGCGAUAACGAACGAGACCUUAACCUGCUAAAUAGCCCGGCCAGCUUUGGCUGGCCGCCGGUUUCUUAGAGGGACUAUCCGCUCAAGCCGAUGGAAGUUUGAGGCAAUAACAGGUCGACGCCGUCACAGGCCUGUCACAGUGGGGGCCGUCUUGGCGACUCCGCUAGUUCAACGUCUUCAUCUCUGUGGGGGAGGUCCCCUCCGAUGCCGGGCAGAGACGGGCAGGCUGAGGUCAGCCUACCUGUGACGUGAGCAACACCACCUGGUACAGGGAACGCCGAGGGCCUCUGCGGAGUGUCGCUCCGGCCGAUCCUGUGGCGAGUCCGCGCCACAGCGGACCGUCGCAACGCGCGGAAAGGGGUGGGCCGGCUGGCCCGGCUUAAGGUACGUGCUAAUCCCUUGGGCAACCAAGCACCUGACGGUGAGACCCGGCAGAAGUAGACCCGUCGGGAGGGCGAGUGAACCGCACCUGUGGAGAUCCUCGUCGGGACUGAAUGCUGUGAUGCCCUUAGAUGUUCUGGGCCGCACGCGCGCUACACUGACAGAGCCAACGAGUUCAUCACCUUGGCCGGAAGGCUUGGGUAAUCUUGUUAAACUCUGUCGUGCUGGGGAUAGAGCAUUGCAAUUAUUGCUCUUCAACGAGGAAUGCCUAGUAAGCGCGAGUCAUCAGCUUGCGUUGAUUACGUCCCUGCCCUUUGUACACACCGCCCGUCGCUACUACCGAUUGAAUGGCUCAGUGAGGCCUCCGGACUGGCCCGAGGAGGUCGGCAACGACCACCCGGGGCCGGGAAGC
This 3433-nucleotide ribosomal RNA is filed under the name Peltula auriculata. RNAcentral describes it as "partial small subunit ribosomal RNA". The stretch from base 1 to 1556 matches the Rfam family "Eukaryotic small subunit ribosomal RNA". Lineage: Eukaryota; Fungi; Ascomycota; Lichinomycetes; Lichinales; Phylliscaceae. The record is from RNAcentral.